AUGAUUGCUGUGAACCACUUCUCAAGCUUGCACACAUCCAAUCUUCAUUGGCUCAACUCGGCCAACAUUGCUCUCAUACCAAAGAAAGAUGGAGCGGAAUGCAUCUCGGACUUUCGCCCCAUUAGCCUCAUUCACGCCAUUGCGAAGAUCCUAACAAAGGUGUUGGCUACGCGCCUAGCUCCCCAUAUGGACAACCUUGUCUCCAGUGCGCAAAGCGCCUUCAUAAAGAAGAGAAGCAUUCAUGAUAAUUUCAUGUAUGUCAGAAACUUGGCGAGGAAACUUCACAGAAAUCGUACACCCACCCUGCUGUUCAAGCUUGACAUCAAGAAGGCUUUUGACUCAGUUAGAUAG
This 351-nucleotide ribosomal RNA is filed under the name Triticum aestivum (bread wheat). Its description in RNAcentral is "partial small subunit ribosomal RNA". Lineage: Eukaryota; Viridiplantae; Streptophyta; Magnoliopsida; Poales; Poaceae. The record is from RNAcentral.